Molecule: ribosomal RNA, 544 nt
Filed under: Aspidoscelis velox
Lineage: Eukaryota; Metazoa; Chordata; Lepidosauria; Squamata; Teiidae
Description: partial 16S ribosomal RNA
Rfam family: Bacterial large subunit ribosomal RNA
Source: RNAcentral
CAAAAACAUAGCCUUUAGCCCAACAAGUAUUAAAGGUAAUGCCUGCCCAGUGAUUUUUCAACGGCCGCGGGAUCCUACACCGUGCAAAGGUAGCAUAAUCACUUGUCAUCUAAAUAAUGACUAGUAUGAAUGGCCCUAUGAGGACUUCCCUGUCUCUUGUAACCAAUCAAUGAAACUGAUCCCCCAGUACAAAAGCUGGGAUAAAAUCACAAGACGAAAAGACCCUGUGGAACUUAUAAGUACCAAUCAACAUAAAUGAAAAAGUCACUUUUAGUUGGGGCAACUUUGGAACAAAACAAAACUUCCAAUCAUGAUAUUAUUUCAGCCCAAAACUAGGUCCACACACCAAUUUUUGACCAACAACUGACCCAGUAUUACUGAUUAAAGAAACAAGCUACCCCAGGGAUAACAGCGCCAUCCCCUCUUAGAGCCCAAAUCGACGAGCGGGGCUUACGACCUCGAUGUUGGAUCAGGGCCCCCAAACAGUGCAGCAGCUGUUAAAGGUUUGUUUGUUCAACAAUUAAUGCCCUACGUGAUCUGAGUU